CAACGAUGAAGAGUUUGAUCCUGGCUCAGGAUGAACGCUAGCGGCAGGCUUAACACAUGCAAGUCGAACGGUAACAGCAGAGCUUGCUCUGGCUGACGAGUGGCGCACGGGUGCGUAACGCGUAUACAAUCUACCUAUUACUGGGGUAUAGCCCAGAGAAAUUUGGAUUAAUCCCCCAUAGUAU
This 184-nucleotide ribosomal RNA is filed under the name Mesonia phycicola. RNAcentral's name for it is "16S rRNA. Bacterial SSU". It matches the Rfam family "Bacterial small subunit ribosomal RNA", at positions 1 to 179 of the family's 1533-position model. The record is from RNAcentral. Lineage: Bacteria; Pseudomonadati; Bacteroidota; Flavobacteriia; Flavobacteriales; Flavobacteriaceae.